This 74-nucleotide transfer RNA is filed under the name Ovis aries (sheep). It matches the Rfam family "tRNA". Rfam says of the family: Transfer RNA (tRNA) molecules are approximately 80 nucleotides in length. Their secondary structure includes four short double-helical elements and three loops (D, anti-codon, and T loops). The record is from Rfam by way of RNAcentral. Lineage: Eukaryota; Metazoa; Chordata; Mammalia; Artiodactyla; Bovidae.
UCCCUGGUGGUCCAGGGGUUAAGACUCUGAGCUUCCAACACAGAGGGCAUGGGUUCGAUCCCCUGGUCGGGGAA